Molecule: long non-coding RNA, 987 nt
Filed under: Cricetulus griseus (Chinese hamster)
Lineage: Eukaryota; Metazoa; Chordata; Mammalia; Rodentia; Cricetidae
Description: lncRNA (ENSCGRG00015029707.1)
Source: RNAcentral
CCCGCCUCCGGGGCAACGCUGCCCAUUGGACAACCCGCCCCUGAGGCUAGUGGCCCCGGGGUUGCCAGGGGAUCCCGUACCUGAGCAACCGCCCGGGCGCGUGGCUGAGGCUUCCCAGAUGCCCCGAGAGGCACGAAAUGAAUGGUGUGAUUGAGGAGGCCAAGCACUGGGGCAAAGGGAAGCCGCUGCUGGCCCCUCUGUGAGCUAAAGGAAGUGGCAAGAAUCUUAAGUGGAGACCAGUUUUGCCCCAAGCACAAAGUAGACAGAAGUACAAAAACUUCCUGUUUGCAGCUCCUGAGAACGUGUUCCAGUGAUGGAACCUCAAAGGAAUUUGUGCAUUCCUCUCCCACAAGUGUCCAGGGCAAAAGUGCUGGGAGAAUGAGUUCACAGAAGAAGCAAGAAUGGCAGAGCUCUGUGAGAUGAGCCAGUGUUCAAGAGAAAGAAAAAUAACUAAGUGAGCCAACACACUAGUUUUCCUCCAUAUAAAAAAGUUUGGGUAAAAGAGCUACUCAGAACUAUAAGCCACACGUGUAACUUUCCCAAGACACACACUGGGCAAGCUUACACAGAGACUAUAACCUGUCCCAGUUGGUAUGUCCAAAGCCUAGUCUCCUUACUUCCUGCCAGGAGUUCCAGGUCUGUCAGAGGACUCCAUUACUGAAGUUCACCUGGAUGAGAGGAAGGGAACGGUUUCCCAGUUAGGACAAAGUCCAGUCUCCAGAGGGACUGUGAUCUGUGUGUGCAUCCACACACCAACAUUUUGAUUUGACUGAAAGGGUACAGGUGGGCAGGGCGACGCAGAAGACUCCCAACUUUACAUGAUGAGACAGUGGAGCAGCAGCCAGCCAGUUUGAAGUUUGGGCAUGUUUGGGAUGCAGCCCUGAUUGUGUAUAAAAGAAACGCAUCUUGCCAUACAUGGUGACUUGCACUGAGGGGGCAAAGAAGGAUUGAUGGAAGUUCAUGGCUAGUCUGGACAACAUAGCAAGA